CGAUUUAUUAUUUUCACCACCGGGAAUGGUAAAGGUCGAACCCGAGCUGUUAAAAUCAAUACAUGACAAACUGGGCAUACUUUAAUGAAUUAGUAAAUAUAUAAAGGAGUUGAAGGCAAGCCUCAAGAUGAGUGACGAAAAAGCUGCGACAUUGGAGUUGAAGGCAAGCUAAAAGGCUAUCAUAACAUGUGGGAUUCUUCACGGGGACCAGGAAUCGGAACGUCUUUGAAUGGUCUACAAAGCAUGCCCCCAGAUAUCUCGUACAGUGGAAACACUUGCACCUCGUCCACGUCGGCAAUAACUCAUCACUCCUACUCCAGGUGAAGAAACUGUGGGCAAUGUCGUCGGAUUGCGUGGACAGGGCAAACGCAAGGAUUUUGUUGGAGGGAUCCAUUGCCAUCCUGCACCUCCAUGACUUCCUUACGUUGAAGCCCAAUGAGUGGCAUAGUGGGGAGGUCAUUGACUUCUACCUCCAACUGAAGAGGAUUGACUUUCAAGUGGAGAGGGAUGUUUUUAUUGUGGAUCACCUUCUGGCAGGGAUAAUCCUGCAUGAGGAUAAGGUGGUGAUGCGCAAGAACACAUUGUCAAAGACCAGUCUGGAGCAGCACAGUUGCUUGAUUGGAGCUUGCAACGUGGCAAACUACCACUGAAUACGCUUGAGGACCUGGGACCAUGCCUCAGGACUACCUGGCCUGAUGACUCUAUGCUGUCCCCAGUCCACCUGGUUGUGCUGCUGCUCCAGCUUCAACUGUUCUGCCUGUGGUUAUGGAACCCUGACCUGUUCACCUGUAAUGGGUGCGUGUCGUGGCAGGGACGGGCAGGAAAACUAACUUGGUAUUAACGGAGUCGUUUAAUAAGUGCUCAUAAAACUCCAAAAACAAAAAUAUACCAAAAAAUAAUGCAAGUGGGUACAAAACCCGUCGCACAUCGAAACAUGACUUGCACAUAACAUACAAUAAAAUACCAUCUCCGACAAGGACAUGAGGGGAAACAGAGGGUUAAAUACACAACAUGUAAUUGAUGGGAUUGAAACCAGGUGUGAAGGAAGACAAGACAAAAACAAUGGAAAAUGAAACAUUUAUCAUUGAUGGCUAGAAGGUCGGUGACGUCGACCGCCAAACACCGCCCGAACAAGGAGAGGGACCGACUUCUGUGGAAGUCGUGACAUCACCGGACGUGCGACCUUGUCCCGAACCUGCUGUUUUUGACUAUCUCUCUCUCUACAACACUUGCUGACUCUAACUCUGAAUGCUUGGCUAUAAAAGCCAACCUACAUUUACUCCUGAGGUGCUGACCUGUUACUCUCUACAACCACUGUGAUUAUUAUUAUUUGACCCUGCUGGUCAUCUAUGAACGUUUGAACAUCUUGGCCAUGUACUGUUAUAAUCUCCACCCGGCACAGCCAGAAGAGGACUGGCCACCCCUCAGAGCCUGGUUCCUCUCGGUUUCUUCCUAGGUUCCUGCCUUUCUAGGGAAUUUUUCCUAGCCCCCAUGCUUCUACAUCUGCAUUGCUUGCUGUUUUAGGUUGGGUUUCUGUAUAGCUCUUUGGCUUUAUAAAUACAUUCGAUUUUUUUUUUUUUUUUACCCCUUUUUCGUGGUAUCCAAUUGUUUAGUAGCUACUAUCUUGUCUCAUCGCUACAACUCCCAUACGGGCUCGGGAGAGACAAAGGUUGAAAGUCAUGCGUCCUCCGAUACACAACCCAACCAAGCCGCACUGCUUCUUAACACAGCGCCCUCCAACCCGGAAGCCAGCCGCACCAAUGUGUCGGAGGAAACACCGUGCACCUGGCAACCCUGGUUAGCGCACACUGCGCCCGGCCCGCCACAGGAGUCGCUGGUGCGCGAUGAGACAAGGAUUUCCCUACCGGCCAAACCCUCCCUAUCCCAGACAAUGCUAGGCCAAUUGUGCGUCGCCCCACGGACUUCCCGGUCGCGGCCGGUUACGACAGAGCCUGGGCGCGAACCCAGAGUCUCUGGUGGUGCAGCGCCCUUAACCUCUGCGCCACCCGGGAGGCUAUUUGAUUGAUGUUUUAGGGCUGUCACCGACAGAAAAAAAUCUUGGUCGACUGAGAUCUGUUCUUUCGACCAAUCAAUUGGUCGCAAUGUUUAAAUGUAUUUAAACACGCCCUAUGUGUUUGAAGAAACCCACUACAUAUGCUUUGAGCUUGUCUGAUGCUUAAGCACCCUGUUUGAUUAAAUAAUUUUGCUGUUGCAUGAGGCUUGGCGCUCACGGAGUCAGUAGGCUAUUAAACACUGAAACAGCCAACAGAAGCCGGAACUGUCUUUCUGUAGAGAUGUAACAGUUAGGCUAUUGAUUAUAUAACUAAUUAAGUGUGUUUGCGCUCUCCUCAAUUUUAGGCUUAGCCCUGUUGGCACAGGACUAGUAUUACUAGAGAACAUUGGUUAUGUAAUUAUUACCCCAAAAUGUCCCUUAUUCCAGAGGAUGAUACGUAUCUGGUUCGUACGACUUGCCAAAACUAUAGUUUAACACUAGUUUUAAUGACUCCAACCUAAGUGUAUGUAAACCUCCGACUUCAACAUGCUGUAAUCUGAAGGACAGGCUUCCAGCAGUUCUGAGAGUGUUACAGGAUAACACACUUGAAAAUAGUGGUGAUAGAUCAGUGGAGGCAAGGGGCCUUCUUUCUCAGAUUUACAUUUCAUAGGGCUUUUGGUGACCUUUUGUAAAGUGCUUGGUGAUGCCAAACGUCUUUCUGACAUGCCCCAAUCAAGCUUUCUUGACCUAGCAAGGGCUGUGGACCUAGUAGGUGCCCUUACAGACACACUACAGGAAGGGCUGUGGAUCUAGUAGGUGCCCUUACAGACACAUUACAGGACUACAGAAGUGAGGAUUACUUUGAAGAACUAUGGAACGAGGUUGAAGAGAUUGCAGAGCACUGCAAAAUAAGUGUACAAACAGUGUGUAAAAAAGCCUAAAACGAGCUUAAAAUCUCACGACUCAUUGAUGAUGAGCAAUGAAGGACAGAAAAAUAGUGACCAAAUUGGUAGUGACAGCAUCCAAAGAGCUAUCUUUUAUCAGGUGCUUCAUGCUUGACAGUCUCACAGCUGAGGUGCAGAGGACUUUUUCAAAGAAGAAUUGCGAGAUAAUGCAAGGGGUCCAGUCUCUCAACCCAAAGAAUACAACAUUCUUGAAUGAGGAGCCUCUGUUUGCCUUUGCUCAGACCUUUGAGUCAGAUUUAGAGGACCUCAAACAUGAGGUUCAUCAAACCACGCAGCUUCUUAAUAGGAUAGAGAAAAGUGUAAGGGACAGACCGUCUACUCUUCUUGACUUUGUUGUGUUUCUAGAACCUUAUAAAGAGGUCUUCCAUGAACUAUUUCGACUUUGUAAGAUUUCUGUUGUUACACCAGUCAGCAGUGCUUCUUGUAAGAGAAGAUUCUCAGCUUUAAAACCAAAAACCAAAACUUUUCUUUGCUAUUAGUUAACAUAAUAUAUGUGAGCAUAAAUAUGAUAUUGUAAGUUUAUAGUAUUGAUGGGCACCAAAAAAUGUAUUUAUUUAUUUUUAAGUCCGUUUCUGAUUGAUACCUGGCAUGUCAAAUUGCAGUGUUUUUUUGUAAAUGUACUUUUUGGUAAAUAAACUAUGCAAUUUAUGUAACA
Oncorhynchus kisutch (coho salmon) is the source of this 3613-nucleotide long non-coding RNA. RefSeq lists it as uncharacterized. Lineage: Eukaryota; Metazoa; Chordata; Actinopteri; Salmoniformes; Salmonidae. The transcript is spliced from 7 exons. The record is from RefSeq and is a predicted model, not a curated record.